Molecule: long non-coding RNA, 921 nt
Organism: Nicotiana tabacum (common tobacco)
Lineage: Eukaryota; Viridiplantae; Streptophyta; Magnoliopsida; Solanales; Solanaceae
Source: RefSeq, a predicted model, not a curated record
ACCAUUUCUAAUAAAGUAGAAAUGCGUUGGAAGCAAAAUUAGGCGGUUGGGAGCAAAAUCCGUACAAGACACACCUUGAGGGAAAGAACAAGAGCAAAAAUUAGUAGCCAACGUGAAUCUAAGAUCGGAAUGAUGAUGGUGGUGUUGUGGAAGAUCAUAAAGGAAAUUUAUCAAUAUUUACACAUCCAGGUCGACUAUCAGGAGAAGCAAAAAAGAGGAGUUUAUCCUUGGAAGAAAUCAGGGCUGCCCAAACUUACAUUCUAUUAAAUUGUAAAGAGGUUGAGCCAUUUGUAAGGUCCGAAGCAACCAUAUUGAGAAUGCAUUUUUGGGUAGCCUUGCUCAUGGACCAUUGACAAGCGCGAUAUGUCAUUCAAUGUAUUUUGUUAAUGGAUAUAAAUUUUACACAGAAAGUCAUGGUAGCGCAAGAUCAACAAUGAACAAUGGCGUUUGUAUAUUGGAUCCAAAUGUUGGUGACUACUAUGGUGGGAUACAAAAGAUUAUACAAGUAGAAUACCGUGAAGAACCUUUAAAGAAUACUGUAUUAUUCAAGUGUGAAUACUGAGGCUCGUGAUAUGAGUUCAGCUGAAAUGAUCUCUAAAGCAAUGCCAAACAAAGAUUUAGUUUCUUGGAACACUAUGAUUGUUGGCUAUACUCAUAAGUAAUUGUCUGUAUUGUUUGGACAUUGUUCAAGUUCUUGAUAAGUGCCUUCCAAUACUUAUCUUUUUAUGAGAAGAUUGUUAGUUUAAUGUAGCAGAGCAGUGUUAGUGACUUCUCUGCAUUUUUGUAAAAAAAAACUGUAUGUUCGUCAUUAUCCCUUUACUGUGCGGGUGAAAUGACUCAAAUGCUGUUCUAAAGCUUUUAAUUUGUUGUUGUGCAUUCUCUUUAAUGAUCUCAAUCAGAUAUUCGUAGCACAUAUGGAGU